CAUCCAGAGAACUUAGCAGAGAUUGCUUUUGGUGCCUUCGGGAACUCUGAGACAGGUGCUGCAUGGCUGUCGUCAGCUCGUGUUGUGAAAUGUUGGGUUAAGUCCCGNAACGAGCGCAACCCUUUAUCCUUUGUUGCCAGCGGUUCGGCCGGGAACUCAAAGGAGACUGCCGGUGAUAAACCGGAGGAAGGUGGGGAUGACGUCAAGUCAUCAUGGCCCUUACGGCCAGGGCUACACACGUGCUACAAUGGCGCAUACAAAGAGAAGCGACCUCGCGAGAGCAAGCGGACCUCAUAAAGUGCGUCGUAGUCCGGAUUGGAGUCUGCAACUCGACUCCAUGAAGUCGGAAUCGCUAGUAAUCGUAGAUCAGAAUGCUACGGUGAAUACGUUCCCGGGCCUUGUACACACCGCCCGUCACACCAUGGGAGUGGGUUGCAAAAGAAGUAGGUAGCUUAACCUUCGGGAGGGCGCUUACCACUUUGUGAUUCAUGACUGGGGUGAAGUCGUAACAAGGUAGGCGUAGCGAG
Molecule: ribosomal RNA, 527 nt
Filed under: uncultured bacterium
Lineage: Bacteria
Description: bacterial SSU rRNA
Rfam family: Bacterial small subunit ribosomal RNA
Source: RNAcentral